GAUGAAUGCUGGCGGCGUGGAUAAGGCAUGCAAGUCGAACGGAGCAUCUUUUGAAGGUUAUUGCGAUUACAUCAAGGUGGCCGACGUUAGAUGCUUAGUGGCGAACGAGUUAGUAACAUCUUGGUACGUACCCUGAAGUCGGGCACAACGGGUCGAAAGAUCCGCUAAUUCCCGAUGGUGCAGCAAUGCUAAAGUCGCAAGACGCUUCAGGAGCGGCCUAGAUCCUAUCAGCUUGUUGGCGGGGUAAUGGCCCACCAAGGCUAUGACGGGUAGGAGGUGUGAGAGCACGACCUUCAACGACGAAACUGAGACACGGUUCGUACACCUACGGGUGGCAGCAGUCGAGAAUAUUCGACAAUGGGCGAAAGCCUGAUCGAGCGACGCCGCGUGCGGGAAGAAGGCCUUCGGGUCGUAAACCGCUUUUGCGUGGGACGAAUUUUGACGGUACCACGAGAAUAAGGGGUUGCUAACUCUGUGC
This 478-nucleotide ribosomal RNA is filed under the name uncultured bacterium. Its description in RNAcentral is "bacterial SSU rRNA". It matches the Rfam family "Bacterial small subunit ribosomal RNA", at positions 28 to 508 of the family's 1533-position model. The record is from RNAcentral.